CGCGUAGGCGGGAAUGCAAGUCAGAUGUGAAAUACCAAGGCUUAACCUUGGAACUGCAUCUGAAACUGUAUUUCUUGAGUGUCGGAGAGGAAAGCGGAAUUCCCCGUGUAGCGGUGAAAUGCGUAGAUAUGGGGAGGAACACCGGUGGCGAAGGCGGCUUUCUGGACGAUAACUGACGCUGAGGCGCGAAAGCGUGGGUAGCAAACAGGAUUAGAUACCCUGGUAGUCCACGCUGUAAACGAUGGAUACUAGGUGUAGGAGGUAUCGACCCCUCCUGUGCCGCAGUUAACACAAUAAGUAUCCCACCUGGGGAGUACGGCCGCAAGGCUGAA
This 332-nucleotide ribosomal RNA is filed under the name uncultured bacterium. RNAcentral describes it as "bacterial SSU rRNA". It matches the Rfam family "Bacterial small subunit ribosomal RNA", at positions 568 to 898 of the family's 1533-position model. The record is from RNAcentral.